AUGGCAAGCCGCGCGUCUGGUUCUGGUGCGGAGGCUAAGGAUGUGGAGGAGAUGAUGAAGAAUCUGGGCAUCACUGAGGAUGACUUGGAUGACGUGGUUUUUGAAGAGCAAGAUGUACCAGCGGAUGCGGCUACGCGGUGGAUGGCAAUCGCGAGAGUUCACACACCAAAGAGCUAUAGCCAGUAUUGGUUCUUUCGCAAUAUGAGGGCUGCCUGGGAUCUGGCGCAGGAGGUGAAGAUCCGUCCGCUCGAAGAAAAUCUCUACACAAUGCAGUUCUCUUGCCUGGGUGAUUGGGAACGCGUCAUGGUGGAGGGACCUUGGACCUUCAAAGGGAACGCUGUGGUGCUUGCAUAG
This 354-nucleotide ribosomal RNA is filed under the name Triticum aestivum (bread wheat). RNAcentral's name for it is "partial small subunit ribosomal RNA". Lineage: Eukaryota; Viridiplantae; Streptophyta; Magnoliopsida; Poales; Poaceae. The record is from RNAcentral.